RNAcentral lists this ribosomal RNA (448 nucleotides) under uncultured bacterium. Its description in RNAcentral is "bacterial SSU rRNA". It matches the Rfam family "Bacterial small subunit ribosomal RNA", at positions 355 to 796 of the family's 1533-position model. The record is from RNAcentral.
UCGAGAAUUUUUCUCAAUGGGGGAAACCCUGAAGGAGCGACGCCGCGUGGGGGAUGAAUGGCUUCGGCCCGUAAACCCCUGUCAUUUGCGAACAAACCUUUCGGUCAAACAAAUCGAAAGCUGAUUGUAGCAGAAGAGGAAGGGACGGCUAACUCUGUGCCAGCAGCCGCGGUAAUACAGAGGUCCCAAGCGUUGUUCGGAUUCACUGGGCGUAAAGGGUGCGUAGGUGGCGGGGUAAGUUCGAUGUGAAAGCUCCGAGCUUAACUCGGAAAUGGCAUUGAAAACUAUCCUGCUAGAGGGUUGAAGGGGGGACUGGAAUUCUCGGUGUAGCAGUGAAAUGCGUAGAUAUCGAGAGGAACACCAGUGGCGAAGGCGAGUCCCUGGACAACUCCUGACACUGAGGCACGAAAGCUAGGGGAGCAAACAGGAUUAGAUACCCCCGUAGUCC